UGGGGAAUAUUGGACAAUGGGCGAAAGCCUGAUCCAGCCCUGCCGCGUGUGUGAAGAAGGUCUUCGGAUGGUAAAGCACUUUAAGUUGGGAGGAAGGGCAGUAAGCGAAUACCUUGCUGUCUUGACGUUACAGACAGAAUAAGCACCGGCUAACUCUGUGCCAGCAGCCGCGGUAAUACAGAGGGUGCAAGCGUUAAUCGGAAUUACUGGGCGUAAAGCGCGCGUAGGUGGUUCGUUAAGUUGAAUGUGAAAGCCCCGGGCUCAACCUGGGAACUGCAUCCAAAACUGGCGAGCUAGAGUAGGGCAGAGGGUGGUGGAAUUUCCUGUGUAGCGGUGAAAUGCGUAGAUAUAGUAAGGAACACCAGUGGCGAAGGCGACCACCUGGGCUCAUACUGACACUGAGGUGCGAAAGCGUGGGGAGCAAACAGG
RNAcentral lists this ribosomal RNA (429 nucleotides) under Pseudomonadota bacterium. RNAcentral describes it as "Proteobacteria bacterium partial 16S ribosomal RNA". It matches the Rfam family "Bacterial small subunit ribosomal RNA", at positions 355 to 776 of the family's 1533-position model. Lineage: Bacteria; Pseudomonadati; Pseudomonadota. The record is from RNAcentral.